GAAAGCUUUGAAAGAGCCCCUAUACAUUAGUUAGGAAUUGGAUAGAAUGCUAUGCUUCCCCUAUGAUGCUGAAAUGGUAGUUGGGAGGAAAAUAUAGUUCAGGUGAUUUUAGCAAAAUGCUCUCCAACUAGAAACUAGAAACAAGAAAGACAAACCUAGGAGCAUUGUUUCAAGAUAUGCAGAAAUUAAUAAGGUUAUGGUGCUUUGCGUAUCCAUUUAAAUGCCCCAUCAGUAAAGUAUUGAAAUUAGGGAGAGAGCAGUGGGAGAAGAACAGGGACAAAGCAGCAGAAGGUAGUUCACAGUGGAAAACAAUAGGGGAAACUGCAGGAGAAAGCAGCUGGAAGAGAGGAGUAGAGAGCAAUGAAGAUACAGUGGUGCAAACCAGGCAAGAAAC
This is a non-coding RNA of Pelobates cultripes (western spadefoot toad), 394 nucleotides long. The record is from the annotation of a GenBank genome assembly. NCBI's taxonomy places the organism in Eukaryota, Metazoa, Chordata, Amphibia, Anura, Pelobatidae.